UAUAACAAUCGAAGCAACUAGUGGCCUACGUGACUUGCAGAGGUCAGAGGUCUUCCCAACGUGGACUGAUAAUUGAUUAUCAUUCACAGGAUGUUGGGCUUGUCUGAACAGAACUGUUGUACAUGCUGUAGCAAGAGGUUCGGCUCUUCUUUGCUGUAGAUUACAUGUGAAAAGGGUUUUUGCUAUGGGCCUGAGCCAACUUCCCGCAACUCACUCGAAGACGACAGCCUGCCCGGCUACGUGCUAACUCAACUAACGGGCGUUCUACCGAUCAUGAGAAACCACUCGGUAAGUCAAAAUGUAUUCACAUUUUUAUGAAUGAGUUAUUGUUGCAAUAUUUUGAACAUUCACCAAGCAUAAUACCAAUACGUUAUGUAAGGACAAUUACUGUGUGGUAUGUGUUUUACAACAAUGCCCUGGUCGAGCUUGGAAUGCUGACUUUUACUAGCCUCAUAUUUGCGGUAUCAUGCUAUACAGCUGAUUCAAGUGUGUCUCAGUUUAGGGUAGCAAAGCCCACAAACUAGAGGCCGGAACAGCGUUCGAAAUCGCACAGCACAGAUCUACUGAUUUUGAAUACUUGCCGUCUCAAGUUGGUGUAGGGCUAGUAAAUAGGCUUCCUAAAAAGAUCAAAUAUGUCAAUGAUCACAAAGAAGUUAAAUAUUGACCCAAAAAUUUCCUAGUGUCAGGGGUUUUGUCUGCGUUAGCAAAAUUGUGAUGAGCUGCUGGGAUAUUAUUUAGUAACAAUGAAAAAAUAAUUUUUUUCUGACUCCUAUUUUGUUAUCCAAAGAAAUGUGAGGUAACGAUGACAAGUGACGCGUACCAAAAUGUAAUCUUAAAUUGAUGCUUACAGGUAAGAUAUAUUCACAUGAAAUUGGAUUUUAUUAGUACUUAGUCUUUGACUUAUAUUAUAAAGGACGCUUACAAUACAAGUAUUGUAAAUUGUUUCCGGCAAUAAAUAUUAUUAUUAAAUAUUGUAACUAAAUGUUACAUAAGCAUUUUUCUACCCUUUCUGUCUUAUCAUGUAAUAAUUUAAAUAUAUCUAAUUGGUUAUGUAUUACUAAUUCAUCGAACUUAACAGUCCCGGCAAUUUUGGAGGUAUCAAUGUUGAUCUCUUGCUCAUCAGUACAUCAUGUGACAGUGACGGAGGUUGUACUUGCCAUCUACGAAAAUUAAACCUCACCCACACGCUGUCAUUCUGUGAUUGACUUAAAAGAACCAAUUUAACGAAAUACCUUUUAAUUUAAUGCCAUUUAAUAUAUGAUAAGAACACACUAUUAUUGUUGUUAUUAUUAUUAUUUUUCUCUGUCUUUCUUAUCACGCAUAUUCCACAGUUUCCCAGUUUGGUUAUAGGCUUUCCCACUGAAAUCCGUUUAUUCGGGUUUUAAAGUUGUUUAAUGUCAGAGUUACUCUGGUUUAAAUAGUUUAAUUCAAUGUUAAUUUUAGUUAAAACUCGAUAAGCUGCUGUUGUCUAACCUGUACACAUCUUAGCAUUUUACAAGUUUAGUAACCAUGGCGUUAGGUUUUGGCAUUAUUAAUGGACGUCAUUGUCAACGGUAUUAUUUAGAGAAUUGUGCCACGAUAUGGCCACACCAUUGAACGUAAAAUGUUUCAGUUGGAUACCUUAAACCAACAAUGAGUAAUAAAUAACAUUAAAAAACUCCACACGGAUAGUCAUACAGUAAAACAAGCAAUAUAUGACUAUAUAUUUCUAAUAUGCCUCUUCUUGAGGAGCUGCCAAGAGUUCUUUGUUUUUAUUUCUUUGUUCUUGUGUGUAAAGAAUGUUCUCAGGCACACAAAUCGUUAUCUUUAUUAAUCGAAGUGGAUAUAUGAUUUCAAGGAGUAAACAUUUUGUAUAAAAUGUAACGAGUUUCUACCUAAUUUCUUAUUCCCACAGUUUACCAUCCUUUUUUUCAUUUCAAAGUUACACAUUAAUUUCAUAAAUUUUUUUACAUAAUUGCCAAAUACUCCGUAUAGUUCCUUUCUUUUGUUCAACUAUUUUCUCCGGAGUUAACUCAGAAACAGUGGAUGGGAAACUAAACCAUCAUAUCCAUCUAUCAGAUUUUGGCGGCAAAAAUUGUAAUUUUGGAUAUAUAAAGAAAUCACAAGAUUUUAUUCUGUUUCCUAAUGUUUUGGAAAUUACAUGAGGAAUAAUAAAGAAAUUUCGUAUUAAGUACUUAACUGAAUAACCCUACUUAAGAUUCUAUUUAAUUUGAAUAUGUACCGUCAUUUCAACUUUUAUAUUGCAUUUUCUACAAUAAAUUUUAAAAAGGUUAUUGCUUUCAAUAACAAAAUAUGAAAAGUGUUCUCAUGAAAUAUUGAAUGUUUUGUGCAAUAUUGACCUUUGUUGACUAGUUCGAUUUAAAAUGUUCAUAAUAAACAAAAGUACACAUACCAUAUUGUAAAUUUCUUCAAGGUUAUACCUAGCUGCAUAAGUGAUCAAAGUCAAAACUUGAAUAAUUAACAAUGAAAAUAUAUAUGCCAUUUAACAGGGUUUUACCUCGGAAUAUAACCCUACAGAUCGAGCGCAAUUAAAGCGAAAGCUAUUGAUCAUAAGAGAUUGGUGACCUCAAAACAUCAUCGCUACCAAUUAUCUGAUAAAACCAGAGUAUUCCUUUGAUAAGGGGGUCCCACUAGUUUUACUGGUUUUAAGUUAAAGUUCACUCCGAAACUAGAAAGAAUAUUAUUUUAAUAUUUUAUUUCGUAUAGUUUUUAAAUACACAAUUGAGUAAAUAUUAUUUAAAUAUUAACUUCAAAGGGAACAUAUACACAUUUAUGCAGCAAAUAUUCAUUGUAGUUAAACCAUUUUGCUGUGUUUGAUUGAAUUGAGUAUCAAGAUAAAACGCCUCGUAUCAAGAGUUAAAUCCGUAGCUUUUUAAUUAUGAUAACUAUUUUUGAAAAAUUCCACAUUGAUUUCUUAGAUUUUAUGCAGUAAAAAUGUUCGUUUCCUUUCAAAUUUGUAAAAUUAAAUCUGCAUAGUUUAUCAUUAUGUGUAUUUAAAACUUUAAUGAUACUAAAAAUGGAAAUAAUUUAUAAAUGAUAGUUCAUUAAACUUUAAAUAUAGUACCUUAAACAUUUUGUACGGAAUCUAUAUACAUUUGUAUUUAUAAUUCAUAGAUAUCGUGUCAUGUAUUUAUAUUUGUAUUUUAAAGAUAUAUAAUACACAAGUCGUUCUUUUUAUUCCACAGAGUUUUUGCAUACUCUUCUAAUAUAACUCCUUUUUGUUACUCAUGCUAUAAAUACAUAUAUAAUGGUUACUACAAAUCUGUGAGAGUUGUUCAUAUUUGUACACCCUGUACUAAUUUUAUUUAUUGCCUUAGAUUUUGAUACUGUAUCGCUUUGCUAAUCAAGGUUUUAUAUUAUUAUGUGUUGAAAGAAAUUAAAUUUUAAUUGUUUGCAGGUAACUUUAAGAAAGUUUAAUUGGCCACAAGUUGAUCCAAAAUUGUUGUUACAAUAUUUAUAUUGGUGAACAGUUUAUUUUUUAAAUUUCAUUAGUAUACGAAGUACAUGUUAGUCCAACUGCUUGACAGUUGGUACGUAUGUUAUAAUGUUUUUAUUUCAAAUUAAAAUACGCAUUUAUUAAUUGUACGCUUUUUAGGGUAACAGAAACUGUUUUAUUUUUAAUUUACUAUAAUAAUAUUACAACUUUAUUACAGCAUCUCAAUCACAAUUCAUUAAGUUGACGUAAACGAAAUUUUUCACAGGCUAAGCAAUAUUCUCAGGUUUUCAGUCAUUUUCACGACCCGUUCAGUUUUACUACUGUGAUAAAAGUUAAGGCAUACAUUUCCGCUUCACUUUAUUUUCAAGUUUUAUGUACAUUACAUCUGCACACGCUACAUUCAAGCAUACCACCUUAUUGACAAAGCCAAAUAGAGGUUCAAAAUUUCAGUCGUAAACUGUCCAGGAAAAUACUUAUAUUUACAUAAAUAAACAACGUCUUUUGAUAGUACGUUAUACAAAGUUUUUAAGUUGGAUGUAUUUGCAACAGCUACUGCGUUGUACGCUGACGUUUUAUUGUUAGUGACUUCAAUUGUAAUUUACAAGUUAAAUAUGAAAUAUUUAGUGUUUUGUAUUGGUGGUAUCAAGUAUAAAAGGUCUUGUUUUAGUAUGCCAACUAAACUAGUUUUCGUAGUCCUUUCUUCUUACAAAAAAAUCUCUAUAAUAUUUAAAUUGAAAUAAAGUGUGCGGAACAAAGGCACCUGCACUUGCACUCAACAAAUUAAAUGUGAAAAAUUAAUUUUAGAGAAAUUGCAGACUGUCUCUGUAUAGAUAUAGUUUUGGAAAUUUCGCUUCUUGUUUUGUGCGGAAUUUUACGUAUGUGUCAAAUUUCUUUUUAAAUAUCGUCACAACGAAGUUUUAAGAAUGCAAGGUUACGUCACUCAGAAAAUAGAAAUCGGAAUCAGAAAAUCUUCAUCCUACAUUUUUUGCGCCUCUUGAGUCAUGGUAGUUUAUAUAAGGCAGUAAAUGAUAAGAAAGCCUUCAUCCAAGUCGUUUCGGAUGACGACUAUUUUAUUGCAUAGAAUAAUGGAUCUGAUUAAUUAUGGUUGACAAUAUCACACCUACUCCAAGUUCAUAUCUCCUUUACCUCCUCACUCACUCCAAACUUCUUAAGUUUUACUGUAAUAAAAGUUAAUUCGGUUUGAAAUGCUUGCAUUAAAAAUGUCGAAGCACUUUUUAUUUAAAUAGA
This 4684-nucleotide long non-coding RNA is filed under the name Homalodisca vitripennis (glassy-winged sharpshooter). Its description in RNAcentral is "uncharacterized LOC124369761". The record is from RNAcentral. Lineage: Eukaryota; Metazoa; Arthropoda; Insecta; Hemiptera; Cicadellidae.